Molecule: ribosomal RNA, 253 nt
Filed under: uncultured bacterium
Lineage: Bacteria
Description: partial 16S ribosomal RNA
Rfam family: Bacterial small subunit ribosomal RNA
Source: RNAcentral
UACGUAGGGUGCAAGCGUUAAUCGGAAUUACUGGGCGUAAAGCGUGCGCAGGCGGUUUUGUAAGACAGAUGUGAAAUCCCCGGGCUUAACCUGGGAAUUGCAUUUGUGACUGCCCGGCUAGAGUGUGUCAGAGGGGGGUAGAAUUCCACGUGUAGCAGUGAAAUGCGUAGAUAUGUGGAGGAAUACCGAUGGCGAAGGCAGCCCCCUGGGAUAACACUGACGCUCAUGCACGAAAGCGUGGGGAGCAAACAGG